CCCGCGCGGCAGCCCCAGCCCCUCCGGGGGGCGGGGAGGCGAGGGGGUGGUGCGGGCGCCAGAAAAGCCCGAGCCCACAGCCGGCCCGGCGCGGCGAUGGGCAGCGCGCUCUGACGCGUGUGAGCGGCGCAGCCAACUCCCGGCCGGGGCGCGGGGCGCAGCGAGCGAGCGAGCGAGCGAGCGCCGGCCUCGGACCCCGCGGCCGGAGGGCGAGGCCGCCGCGCCGGGCCCAGCGCCCUUUCUCGGCCACAGGCGUCCGUGCCCCCGGCCCGGUGCCCCGCGCCCGAUCGGGGUUCAUGGAGCCGGGGCUGUGGCUCCUGUUCGGGCUCACGGUGACCUCCGCCGCAGGAUUGGUGCCUCGCCCCCAGCCUGGGGACGCUGGCAGGAGCGGCGUGCCUGGGGCCCCGCCUGCAGCCAGAUCCGAGGGGGACAUCGAGGACCCCGUGGCCACUACAGCAGUGCAGAGUCCAAGUCCCAGAAGCCCUGGGCAGGAGCAGGAGCCAGGGCGGUUUGGGGAACAGGCGCCCCAGGGGGGUCCUGUGCACCGCCGAGCGAGGCGCUGCACGUGUUUCACCUACAAGGACAAGGAGUGCGUCUACUAUUGCCACCUGGACAUCAUCUGGAUCAACACUCCUGAACGGACCGUGCCCUAUGGACUGUCCAACUACAGAGGAAGCUUCCGGAGCAAGAGGUCCCCGGGGCCGUUCCCGCAGAGCCCACAGCCGUCCAAGCGGACGCUGCGCUGCGCUUGCGUGCGGAGUCAGGACAGCGCCUGCCUGCACUUCUGUACCCGCACCCUGGCCGUCAGCAGCUCUCUCUCCCCCCAGGAACUCAAGGACACCAGAAAAUCCUGACGAAGAGGAACAGCCAGCCGGCGGUGCCGAUGGAGGCCUGCGUCCGAGGAGAUAGGCUGAAGUCCGGGACCGACCAAGCGAGCAGGCCUUAGGCCUCUGGCAUCACGUGCUUGCCCGGCGGUGGGCCCCCCGCGCUCUGCCUCCCCCUCUGCUGUGUCAGGAACCCCUGCGGACACAGGCCAGCAGCACCCCAUUUCUGGGAGGCCUCAGUUUCCGCCUCUUCCCGGUUCACGUUCCCAGCCUCUUGGAGGACCAGGAAUGAGUUUUGCCUGGUGGGGGGAAAACCCACUCAGAAGGUCCGCACUUAACAGUACACCCCUCACCCAAGAAUGCCCCAGCCCCAACGACCCGGUUUCUCUAAUGGGUAAAAUGAUCCCAGAUGUGCCCCAGAGCCUGACGCCCGCGGCUCGGGUUUCAUGCAGGAAAUUGUUUUUGGAGCGCCGUGGCACAUCCAGCCGCUUGCUCGCUUUUGACUUCUCUUGGAGUAUAAGUGGGCUCCAGGCUGACUUUGCAAAUGUAAACACGCGUCCCCUUAUAACCGAUGCGGCGGGAGCAUGCGACGCUCCCGUCCUGACAUCCAGAAGGCACGCGCUGUGGGCUAGGGAGGGCGCCAGGCGUCGAUUUUGAAUGCGGAGCGUAGCUUUGCAGGAGUUGAGGACUUUGAAGCUUCUAGGAGGAUUUAGACAGCGAUUUUCAGGUGUGCACGGUACCCACUAAAAGAAUGUAUCUUUGAGAAAGAGAGGACGAGAGAAAAAAGAAACCUCGAUGUUUGUGACGAGAAAAGAAGAACACGAGUAUGUGUGGGCUUUGAACCCCGACACGUGCGGCUGCGAGCCUGUCCUCGAUCAGGUGACCUUCUGAGCCCUCUGCGGACAGGCAGGCCAGGCACUUCCCAGAGAGCCGCAGUAAAAGCCGCCGGCCUCCCCUCUAGGCCAUUUGGGUGAAUAUUUGCUUUCAUGAACAAAUGUGGAUCUUGGGGGAACGGCUUCAAAAUAAGCCACGAAUGCAAACUCUUUGUAAAUUAUGUAAAUUCCUAUUUAUCUAUGUAAUUGGCAACCACUGGGGAUUGUAACGCCCCGCAGGUCGCGAUCUGUUUCCGCUGUGCUUUUUACGGCCGGCCCAAGAUUACCGUGCGUAUCCGGCGAAGUAUUUGGUGCCAACGUCAUUGAUGCAGACGCCCCCCCCCUCCCACACACACACACCCGCCCCCAGCUGGCAGAGAGAUGAGAACCCACAUGGGAGGCAUGCCCAGGUCACCACGCGGGGAAAUUUAAGGUGGUGAACGACAGAGCGUUGGCCUCGACCAAAUGCUAAAUUCUGUGUGCGUUAUUUCAUGAGCUCUUACGGAUAGAAAAGGAGUACCUAUCACCCGGAAAAGGAGGGCAGUGCUUUGCUAGCAGGACUGUGUACAGUUUAGAGAAGCAACUAUUUAUUGUGAAACUCUUCAUUUCGAUUCCUUUAUGUGGAUCUGUUCAAAGUAAAGCCACUGUGUAUAUAUAGACAGACUUUAAAUUGUGUUCUGGAUCCAAACGCAUAUUCCUUAGAGCUUGAGUUACAUUUUUAAAACGCAUAGGCACCGUUUGGCUCUGUGGCAGGAUGCUAUCUUGGAGAGAAAUUCAUCCGUUGUGCUAACACUCAGAAAAUACUAACUGUCAAAUGCAUAAUAAAAAAAAAAUCUAGAAGUUUGCUCUGA
This is an RNA transcript of Felis catus (domestic cat), 2547 nucleotides long. It is a transcript of the gene named endothelin 3, with no coding region annotated. The record is from RefSeq and is a predicted model, not a curated record. The transcript is spliced from 5 exons. Lineage: Eukaryota; Metazoa; Chordata; Mammalia; Carnivora; Felidae.